AAAAAAAACACUCUUUUCAUCCACUUUGAUAACGGGGUUUCUCCCAAAGCAGAGCUUUGAAAGGGACAGGAAAAUCUGGAAUAGCAUCUUCAACUAAAGAUGUCAAAGCACAAGCUCACUUCCCAUGGAAGCUAGCAAUUACCAUUAUCUCUACUUGACAGCUACAAGAACCUAGGCACAGAGGUUAAGUGCUCUGCAAAUACUACCAGCCAUAUGUGGUGGUUUUCCUGCCAGAACCAAGUUCUUGCCUUCCAGUGGACACCAUUGACCUCUCAAGAUUAUUCUUUAAGUUAAAAAGUAAUAUAAGUGAAUAUUUCCCCAAAGCUUCCCUUCUAACAGUUACUUUUUGCUACGAUGAACUGCUUAAAAUCACAGAGCCAACAUCACUCCAUCAAUUAAUGUAAGUAAAAACAAGGCAAAUGAGCAAAAUUUAUUCUUUCAUUGGCAAUAAUCCAGGUUAGCAGAGAUGGGUUGGAAAGAAGUAAAUUUGGAGGUAAUUAUGUUGUCAUUUCAGCAAUAUAUACAUAUGCUUUGUAUUUUUGUUGUUGCUCCUCAUCCAGGUCAUGGUAAAACAAACAUAAAUUUCUCAUUUUAGA
This is a long non-coding RNA of Chlorocebus sabaeus (green monkey), 596 nucleotides long. RefSeq lists it as uncharacterized. Lineage: Eukaryota; Metazoa; Chordata; Mammalia; Primates; Cercopithecidae. The record is from RefSeq and is a predicted model, not a curated record.